This 404-nucleotide ribosomal RNA is filed under the name Actinomycetes bacterium. RNAcentral describes it as "Actinobacteria bacterium partial 16S ribosomal RNA". It matches the Rfam family "Bacterial small subunit ribosomal RNA", at positions 355 to 776 of the family's 1533-position model. Lineage: Bacteria; Bacillati; Actinomycetota; Actinomycetes. The record is from RNAcentral.
UGGGGAAUAUUGGACAAUGGGCGCAAGCCUGAUCCAGCCAUGCCGCGUGAGUGAUGAAGGCCCUAGGGUUGUAAAGCUCUUUCACCGGUGAAGAUAAUGACGGUAACCGGAGAAGAAGCCCCGGCUAACUUCGUGCCAGCAGCCGCGGUAAUACGAAGGGGGCUAGCGUUGUUCGGAUUUACUGGGCGUAAAGCGCACGUAGGCGGACUAUUAAGUCAGGGGUGAAAUCCCGGGGCUCAACCCCGGAACUGCCUUUGAUACUGGUAGUCUUGAGUUCGAGAGAGGGGGGUGGAAUUCCGAAUGUAGAGGUGAAAUUCGUAGAUAUUCGGAGGAACACCAGUGGCGAAGGCGGCUCACUGGCUCGAUACUGACGCUGAGGUGCGAAAGCGUGGGGAGCAAACAGG